RNAcentral lists this long non-coding RNA (2230 nucleotides) under Sarcophilus harrisii (Tasmanian devil). RNAcentral describes it as "lncRNA (ENSSHAG00000029043.1)". Lineage: Eukaryota; Metazoa; Chordata; Mammalia; Dasyuromorphia; Dasyuridae. The record is from RNAcentral.
CCAAGAUUCAGAAUGCAAAAGACCCUUAGAAAUCAUCCAGUUCAGCUUCCCUUGUCCACCCAUUCUCACCUAGACUACCCCAUACCCUUGUAAGAGAGAGAAAGCAGAGUGGCUGGAGCUGACUGCCGAAUGGUGAUUGUGAGUUUGCCCCAUUCUGCCAGAUGGACCUACUUCCUCCUAUUGCCUGUGCCCCCCUGGCCACACUGGCUGGGAAGGACUAGCAGACUCUUAUCCUUGGGGCCUGGACUAUUUAUGUUGCUACAGUUGCACAGCUGAUUGUGACCUCCUUUGCAUUUCUUUCCGGGGUUGCCUGAAUUUCUUAUUUUUUACAACUUGAUAAUCCAUCACACAGGUGGUAAGUACCAGUCAGAAUUAACCUUCAAAAGCCAUGGUGCCAUUGCCAUUGUAAAGGUUUCAGAGCUAGUAAAUGAUGACCACGAGCUCAUAUGGCUCCCGGUUCACUACUACUCCUACCAUACACAUCUGUAGAUCUGCAGCCUUGUUUUGGGCAUCUAGAGGUAUCAGUGCAUGUGAUGGGAGAAGGAAAUGGCAAACCACUUUAGUAUCUUUGCUAAGAAAACCCCAAACGGGAUCAUGAAGAAUUGGACACAAAUGAAAUGACUGAACAAUAGGUCUUGUCAUAACUGACCUGCUACCCUCCUCUAUCUUGAGAAACAGGAAGAAUAACAGUUAUUAGCAAACACAGCUUUAAUUCAGAGAUCAUGCCAGGAAUUUUAUAAGUGAAGCAUCAGACCUUGACGGACUAAUUACAGUUAAAUUUGUUAUGUUACUGUGCUGUUAGGGUAAGAAGUAUCUAGAGUCAAAGCAAAGGCAACCAAGUAUUAUUUCUAAUAUAAAUUAAAUUUGGCUCAGUCCCAAUUUCAACAUAUGCUGGUUCAGCGAAUCCAGUAAGUUUUUUUGGUUCAUCUGGGGCAGGAAUAGAAGAAUAUCAAAAAAGCAGUCAUUUGUCCCUGAGAAAAGACCUUGACCUUUACUGACCACUCCAUUUCUCCUUUGUACAUAAUAGUUGUUGAAAUGAUUACCAUAACCAAUUUGAAAUGGUUUCCAAUAGUAAUCAUAGGUUAAAAAUGACAAAAAGACACUAGUUAACAUAGGACAAGGGGUCUGAAAAUGUGACUAAAUCCCAUAUUUGUAAGGAAUAACCCUGGAAGUGGAAAUGCCAUAAUCUGGUGGUGUAAAUGAUAUCCUUGGGAAAUGACCAUCUGUGGGGUUUACAUAUGGCCAAAGAGGCCUUAGGCCAGGAUUGGGGGAUCCUCAGCCUGAAGAAUGAACACACCUAUUCUGCUACUCCUACCACUAUUAGAAAAUGGAAUAUUUUGCCUGAAGAAGAAUUCAUUCAAUGUGAAAGGCUGUCAAUUAGCGGUGUUCAUCUCUGGAGAGUACAACUAGUAUUGAUAAGUGGAAACAUGUUUGCACUUUGUAUGAGAAUGAAUUUAACAGCCAUACAAAAAUUGAAUGGGAUGUAUUUUGUGCUAGUGAAUUUCUUAGUGAUAUUUAAAGGAAGGUAGGAUGCUGUAGAAGGGACGUGUAGAUUGAAUAUGGACUAAAUCUGAUGACUCCUUAAAUGUGUUCUGAGAUUCUAUGGUUUGGUUUGGUUUGGUUUUUGUUUUUUUUGGAAAAAAGUGUGAGCCCAUGUGUCUAUAGUUUAAUCACUUCCCCAUUCUCCUUUACAUCCCCAUACAUGUUCAUCAUUCUCAGCAGGGAAAAAUAUAAGUGCUAAUUUAAAAGUUCCCUUCAGAUAUACUUUGGCAGCACAGGUACAGAAUGGGAUGAUUGAAAUGUUCAUAGGAUCUUCAGAAUGGACUUUGAACUCGAAGUCUGAGGACUUUUCCCACUCUCACUCUGGGGUCAAUAAUGAAACCAUUUCUGAAAAAUGGGGAUGGCAUAGCAGAUAGUGAGCCAGCCUCAGUGCCCCAAAGAACUCCCUGGUUUGGGCACCGCGAUCUGUCACCAGAAUAUUUUAGGGAAGGUAUACUUAUUCAGCAGAAAAUAAGAUGGGUAAUAAGAAGCUUAGCUUAUGAUGUACUCAGUUCCCAGCCAUCUCUUCAUUAUGCAGCCUACAUUCAAGCCAUCAUCUUUGUUCCUUCCCCCUUCUGUGUUAUCCUCUGGACUCCACCUCUCUGAUAACUAAGCUCUUGCUUUAUUUUGGUGGCCAUUGAGUUUCAUAUUUUGUAUCCCUCCCUUUCACUUUUGCUCUCUCCCUUAUGCC